CCUACGGGUGGCAGCAGUGGGGAAUAUUGGACAAUGGGCGAAAGCCUGAUCCAGCCAUGCCGCGUGUGUGAAGAAGGCCUUCGGGUUGUAAAGCACUUUCAGUGGGGAAGAAAGCCUUGGGGCUAAUACCCUCGAGGAAGGACAUCACCCACAGAAGAAGCACCGGCUAACUCCGUGCCAGCAGCCGCGGUAAUACGGAGGGUGCGAGCGUUAAUCGGAAUUACUGGGCGUAAAGCGCGCGUAGGCGGUCUGAUAAGCCGGUUGUGAAGGCCCCGGGCUCAACCUGGGAACGGCAUCCGGAACUGUCAGGCUAGAGUGCAGGAGAGGAAGGUAGAAUUCCCGGUGUAGCGGUGAAAUGCGUAGAGAUCGGGAGGAAUACCAGUGGCGAAGGCGGCCUUCUGGACUGACACUGACGCUGAGGUGCGAAAGCGUGGGUAGCAAACAGGAUUAGAUACCCGAGUAGUC
This 465-nucleotide ribosomal RNA is filed under the name Vreelandella stevensii. Its description in RNAcentral is "partial 16S ribosomal RNA". It matches the Rfam family "Bacterial small subunit ribosomal RNA", at positions 338 to 795 of the family's 1533-position model. Lineage: Bacteria; Pseudomonadati; Pseudomonadota; Gammaproteobacteria; Oceanospirillales; Halomonadaceae. The record is from RNAcentral.